Podarcis lilfordi (Lilford's wall lizard) is the source of this 73-nucleotide non-coding RNA. NCBI's taxonomy places the organism in Eukaryota, Metazoa, Chordata, Lepidosauria, Squamata, Lacertidae. The record is from the annotation of a GenBank genome assembly.
ACUGGGAUAGCUCAGUCAGCAGAGCUUGAGACUCUUAAUCUCAGGGUUGUGGGUGUGAGCCCCACGUCGGGCA